RNAcentral lists this ribosomal RNA (470 nucleotides) under uncultured bacterium. RNAcentral describes it as "bacterial SSU rRNA". It matches the Rfam family "Bacterial small subunit ribosomal RNA", at positions 335 to 803 of the family's 1533-position model. The record is from RNAcentral.
ACUCCUACGGGAGGCAGCAGUGGGGAAUAUUGGACAAUGGGCGAAAGCCUGAUCCAGCCAUGCCGCGUGUGUGAAGAAGGUCUUCGGAUUGUAAAGCACUUUAAGUUGGGAGGAAGGGCAUUAACCUAAUACGUUAGUGUUUGACGUUACCGACAGAAUAAGCACCGGCUAACUCUGUGCCAGCAGCCGCGGUAAUACAGAGGGUGCAAGCGUUAAUCGGAAUUACUGGGCGUAAAGCGCGCGUAGGUGGUUUGUUAAGUUGGAUGUGAAAUCCCCCGGGCUCAACCUGGGAACUGCAUUCAAAACUGACUGACUAGAGUAUGGUAGAGGUGGUGGAAUUUCCUGUGUAGCGGUGAAAUGCGUAGAUAUAGGAAGGAACACCAGUGGCGAAGGCGACACCUGGACUAAUACUGACACUGAGGUGCGAAAGCGUGGGAGCAAACAGGAUUAGAUACCCUGGUAGCGACUGA